RNAcentral lists this transfer RNA (64 nucleotides) under Mactra chinensis. RNAcentral describes it as "tRNA-Trp". The record is from RNAcentral. Lineage: Eukaryota; Metazoa; Mollusca; Bivalvia; Venerida; Mactridae.
GAAAGGUUAAGUUAUAGAGACUAUAGUACUUCAAAUACUAAAGAGGGAGUGUUCUCACUUUUCG